AUUUAGGAUGCGUUCCACAUCAGAGAUGCGGGCAUCCCAGUUGCGCUGGUCCGUGCGGGCGUACGCGCGUAUUGCCGUAUUUAUAGAACGAUUCGUUCGUUCUACCGGGAAUCGGCUGAAUUCUCUGGAGAUGAACGUCGAACCAUUAUCGCUCAACAAGAUUUCCGGACUUCCAUGGCGGUUGAACCAGGAUCGCACAAAGUGAGGCGCUGCAAAUUUUGCGAACGGGGGUCAACAUUACGUACUUGCUGAAGACGUCGAGGACGACUAGCAAGUGUUGAUUGCCCCGUUUGCUUCGAGGAAGUGGGCCUAUGUAGUCCACCGAAAUCAUCUGCCACGGUGCACCGGUUGUCCCACAUUGGCGAAUAUAUUCGCGAACUUCUGGUCCCAUACGAGGCCAAAAAUAGCGUUUUUGAACCUCGUGAAUCGUUUUAUCGUAUCCCACAUGAAGCAAUUCAUCGUGAGUACGCUGCACGAUUUCUUCUCGACACUCGGGGGUUGGGACCAAUUUCCAACUAAACCGAGAGUCGAAUGGUACACUUUUCGAGGCCACGUAUUUGAAAAGUUUACCAUCUUCAACUUUAAAGUCAGGGUAAUCAUCAGGAUUAUCUGAAACUUAAGACUUCAUGGAACAAUACCAGUCUGAAGUGGACAAUGCCGAAAUGGCUGCUACAGCACAGGAUAAGGCAUCCGGAACGACAUUGUCCUUACCUUUCCGGUGCUCAAUGGACAUGUCGUAGAGUUGUAGUUCCAAACUCCACCGACUCAGGCGCGAACUGGUUUUCCAUUUGGUCUUCAAUAUCCAGGUAAUGGCCGAUGAAUCAGUGACAAGUCGAAAAUGAUAACCUUCCUAGUAACGUCGGGAGUGUUCAACCGCCAUAAUCACCGCCAGACCUUCCUUUUCGGUAGCGUGGUAAUUCAGUUGGGGAGUGGUUAGCUUAUGUGAAAAAUAAGCCACCACUUUUUCCCCCUCUGGAUGUUCUUGCACCAAAACAGCCGCGACAGCAGUGUCGCUGGCAUCUGUCUGCAAAAUGAAUUCCUUUGAAAAAUCUGGCGGGACAAGCACAGGAGGAGUGACUAAAAGUUCCUUUACCUUCAGGAACGCGAGUUCUGCUUCGGAGUUCCAGCCAAUAUUCUUGGCCUUUGUUUUCAAGAGGUCUGUCAAAGGUGCGGUUACCUCACUAAACCGAUCAAUGAAACGCCGGUAGUAACCGCACAUUCCAAGGAAUCGGCGCAGUUUAGUAACCGUCACCGGCCGCUCGUAAUCGAGUAUCGGCUGAAUUUUGUCAGGAUUGACCUUUAGA
Molecule: long non-coding RNA, 1304 nt
Organism: Wyeomyia smithii (pitcher-plant mosquito)
Lineage: Eukaryota; Metazoa; Arthropoda; Insecta; Diptera; Culicidae
Exons: 3
Source: RefSeq, a predicted model, not a curated record